This 4975-nucleotide long non-coding RNA is filed under the name Olea europaea subsp. europaea. The record is from RNAcentral. Lineage: Eukaryota; Viridiplantae; Streptophyta; Magnoliopsida; Lamiales; Oleaceae.
AGCUAAGCAAUUGACGUUGUUGAAAAAUGGGUGAAGUGAGAGGAAUUGCUUCACUUUGCAGAAGGAGCCAUGACUGAGUUAAAAGUCAAUGCUUACAUUCGGAGGUACUUAUAAAUAUCCAAUUUUCUUCUACUUUUUCUGCAUCGCAUACCCUUGAGCUAUGUGACAGAUUUGUCUAAUUUUAAUUUAGGGACAUUAUCAUGUUGUGGAUCCAUAAGUUAAUUGAAAUAUUUGUUAUAUUACUCAUUUCCUCGAAUGGAAGCUUUUUUCCUCUCAAAAUGAAUUUACCUUAGGUUUAACAUAAUGAGGUCAUUCCAAGUACAACCUUACCAUUUUUCUCAGAAUUAUGUUGCAUUUUGUGACAUUGAUACGUUUAACAAUUAACUUUUUGAUAUCCAAGAUGACUUUAUUCAGUGAAUGUUGAUAUUCGCAAAUGAUGAGUGUAUUAUAUUUUUUCAUGAGUUUUAGGAAGCCAUUUUUGACAUCAAACUUACAAAUAAAAUAUCAUUUUACUCCAUGUAAUUAAAGGGGUUAUUAUGUUAUAGAAUUCUUUUAAGUAGAUCAUAUAUUUCUACGAGUUUUGUAAAUGGUAUUAAAUGGAAUCAAUAUAUAUUUCUUGCUCAUGGAAUUUAUGAUUCUUGUUAUUAGAUGAAUGUCUAUUCUAUGUGUUGAGAAAUAUUACUACUUGAUUUUCUCUACAAAGUAUUUGACUAACAAAUGCAAGGAUGUGUUCCAAAUAUAAAGGCAUCACCCUCCCCACUAAUACCAAUUGAUAGGUCUAUAAGUUUUGUACUUGUCAGGGGACAAAAACAAUAAGUUAUGUGAUUAUGCCCAAAGUAUAACGCGGUGAUUGUAGUACAGCUUUGGGGUGUCGUAUCCACAGGGAGAUGGAAAUUUUCUCAAAAAAAUCAAACAAACUAGGGUUUUCGUAAUUUUAUGUGGGAAUGAUUUGUUACUUGGAAUAAAAAUUAAUUAUCAAUAUGCGACAUAAGUGAAGCGUCGGAAUUCCCCCAAUGGAUUGGAUCAAUCAACAUCAAUAAUUCUUGUAUUUUUUCUCAAUUAGAGAUUUUCUUCCCAACUCUCUAAUCGGAAGAUUUAACAAUAAAGUCCAAUUUAAUUCCAAUUAUAUUGCUAGAAUCUAGAUUUUCUAUAACACAUUCGCACGUUUUUUUAUUGGAACAAGAUCAAAGAUCGACCAUAUACAUCAACCAUAAGGCAGUAAUCAAUUCGCCAAUAAAGUAAUAUUAAGAUUAAAAUUCAACAAUUAUUUUAAUUAUUCGAUAGAAGGAACAUGACUAGAUCUGUGAAGGAUUUGAUAAAAGUUAAAAUAAUCUCAACAAUAAAUAAUUCAAAUUGUAAUUCAACAAGUAUUUCGAAUAUUCGAUAGAGAAAGCAUGACCGAAUCUAUGGAAAUUCUAAUAAUUGCUAAACUAAUGUCAAAAAUAUAUUCAAGAUAUGGAAAUUCGAUUCUAAAAUUGUUUAAUAAUGAAAAACUCAAUUACAUGAAUUAAAGAUGUUGAAAUCACCAAAACCGAUUGAGAUCCUUCGUUGCUUCACCAAGUUCCUUAAUUUUCUAUGGAGUUUCUUGAGCACCAAGAUGAAAGAAAUAGGUCUGGGGGCGUCUACCUUCGUUCUGGGUGGUUUUGGGCAUUUAUAUCCCGUGAAAAUUAGGUUACCAUAAGAGAUUCAAUCGUAUAAGGAAACUGAGAUUCGCCGCCCAAAAAAUACUAUGCGACCGCAUGGUUAUUGUCAUUGCGGUCGCAUGGUUAUGCACUUUCAUCCUCUCCAAUUCUCGGUAUAGGUGUGUGCGACCGCAUAGUAGAAAGGCAUGCGACCGCAUGGUUCCGCCAGACAGCUUUCAGUGUUUUAGUCAUAACUUUCUUUCCCGAUGUCCAAUUGAGGUGAUUCAAGUUGCAUUGGAUAGCUAAUGUGAGCAAAUUAGAGGUGGGUCUCAUGCAAUGUUUUUAUCAUGAAAAGCUUUCAUUUUUUCCUUGUAGAUUCUAGAACUCUCAUAGGCCUCAUUUCUCAACUCCUCUAACUCAGCGAAUUGAAAUUUCCUAAGCUUACCUCCCUCCUCUAGGUCGAAAUUAAAAUGUUUAAUAGCCCAAUAUGCUCGGUGUUCAAGCUCCACAAGUAAAUGGCAAGGCUUUCCAAAAAUAAGUCUAUAUGGUGACAUGCCGAGGGAAGUCUUAAAAGCAGUACGGUAAGUCCAAAGUGCAUCACUUAAUCUUAAAGACCAAUCUUUACGAUUAGAAUUCACCAUUUUUUCCAAAAUUUGUUUAAUUUCCCUAUUAGCCAAUUCUACCUGUCCAUUAGUUUGGGGGUGGUAAGUAGUAGAGAUUUUAUGAAUAACUCCAUAUUUUUUCAUUAGUGCUUCGAAUGAACGGUUGCAAAAGUGUGUGCCUCUGCCCCUAAUAAUGACACGUGGUGUACCAAACCUAGAUAAGACAUUUUCUUUGAGGAAUUUAAUAACCAUUUUAUUGUCAUUAGUUCUACAAGCGAACGCCUCUACCCAUUUAGACACAUAAUCCACCGCCACAAUAAUGUAUAGAUAACCAAAAGAAGGUGGAAAGGGGCCCAUAAAGUCAAUCCCCCAACAAUCAAACACUUCUAUCACUAAAAUGGAGUUUAAAGGCAUCAUAUUACGUCGAGACACGGCACCUAAUUUUUGACAUCUUUCACAGGUUCUACAAUAGGUAUUAGUGUCUUUGAAUAAGGUAGGCCAAUAAAAACCACAUUGUAGAAUUUUUGCAGCAGUCUUUUUUAUAGAGAAGUGGCCACCACAUGCUUAAGUAUGACAGAAACUAAGUAUGCUAAGUAUUUCUUCAUUGGGGACACAACGUCUUAAGAUUUGGUCGGGGCAGUACUUAAACAAACAUGAGUCAUCCCAAUAAAAAUUAUGUACCUAAACCAAAAACUUCCUCUUAUCCUUUGUACUCCCUCCUUUGGGAUUUCACCUGCAGCCAAGUAGUUCACAAUGUGAGCAAACCAUGGUAAAGAAGAGACAGAAAAUAAAUUUUCAUCCGGGAAUUCAUCUCUUAUUGGCAAGGUGUUUGUAGUGUCUUCAAAGGUUAGCCUUGAUAAGUGGUCUGCUACGACAUUCUCCACUCCUUUCUUGUCCUUGAUGGUGAUGUCAAAUUCCUGCAAAAGCAAUAUCCACCGUAUUAAUCGCGCCUUAGUAUCCUUCUUUGCAAGAAGGUGCUUAAAGGCUACAUGAUCUGUGAAAAUUGUAAUGGGAGAACCUAUUAAAUAGGAUCUAAACUUGUCAAGUGCAAAGAUCACAGCUAGUAGCUCUUUUCAGUUGUGGAAUAGUUCAUCUGAGCACUGUUAAGAGUUCUACUAGCGUAGUAAAUGACAAAAGGCUUACCCUCUCUUCGUUGUCCCAGUACAGUACCUACCGCAUAAUCAUUAGCAUCGCACAUAAUUUCAAACGGUAGGGACCAAUCAGGUGGUUGCAUGAUUAGUGCAGAAGUGAGCUUGUUAAUCAGUGUUUUAAAUGCCUCUUGGCAUUCUGGGGUCCAUUCAAAAUUGGCUUCUUUACUUAGAAGGUUACACAAGGGUCUGGAUAUGGAUGAAAAGUUCUGUAUAAACCUCCUAUAAAAACCUACGUGACCUAGAAAUGAUCUUAUGUCUUUGACGGUUUUAUGUAUAGGCAAUUUGGAGAUCAGUUCAAUUUUUGAUUUGUCGACCUCUAUUCCUUUAGAAGAAAUUACAUGUCCUAAGACAAUUCCUGAAGGUACCAUAAAAUGACAUUUCUCCCAAUUCAAAACUAAUCAUUUUUCCACACACCGGGCCAAGACUCUCUUCAAGUUAAAUAGGCAUGUAUCAAACGAGACUCCAAACACUGUCAAGUCAUCCAUGAAAACUUCCAUGCACUCCUCUAUCAUGUCAGUAAAUAUGCUUAUCAUGCAUCUUUGGAAUGUGGCAGGGGCGUUACAAGGUCCAAAUGGCAUCCUACGAAAUGCAUAAAUACCAAAUGGGCAAGUAAAUGUGGUCUUUUCUUGGUCUUCUAAAGCUAUUUCAAUUUGAUAAUAAAUGAUUGAUAAAUGAAGUAACAUGCAAAUAACAAAGUUAAUCAAACUGAACACAUUUUUAACUUUGCAAAAUAACUUGCUUGAGAUUGGCUUAGAGAUAAACAAGUCAAUCUUAUGUUGUACUAAAGGCUCAGUGGGCUGACACGAACUUGGAUCAAUUCAUGUGUGCUUCUAUACAUGUCGGACUAGAUGUUUUGUUUAUUUAUGUUUCAAUUUUGUUGAAAAUUAUCUCUUUAAUGGUGGGUUUUUUGAUAAUUAAUUAUGGUUUAUGUUUUCCCCAUUUGUCCUUUUUCUUGUUGGUAAUAUAUUCAUAUUUUCUUUGUUACCAAGGUUGAGUCGGUGUUGGACAAGGAAAAUUUUACAUUGGAAGAGCUUUUGGAUGAAGAAGAGAUAAUCCAAGAAUGCAAAUCAUUAAAUAGUUGCCUUAUCAAUUUGAAUGGCACCUUUACUUUUUAGCUGCAUAUUUCUAUUUAUUAUUAUUGUCAUCUAUGUUAGUUUUUAAUGAGUAAUGGUUCCUUGGCAAUCACACCCUUACCACGACCUGCUCUUUGAACAGUUGUUGCACUAUAUCGAGAGUCUCCGAUGAUGCGGAUAGCAAACGAAUGUUCAGAUGCCAUAUAGUUUUAGCUUUCAAACCAAAUUUAUUUUUCCCCAAAACUAGUCUUAUAAACAUGAAGUAUUAACCCGAUUUGCUUGUUUGUUGAUUAGUUACUGCAAAAAGUCAAGAAAUUAUAAUCUAUGUCAAGGAGGAAGUAUGCACAUUGGGUUUAACCAAAAAAGAAGUUGGAACUGCUACAUAUUCUUUGAUUUCCAAUAGCAAUCUCGAAACUCUCAACCCGUGAUCUUCUGUUGACUCUGCCAUGAGGCUAAGUAAUCGUUUUGAAACUGUGUUUGAUAUUUGGGUCUUCGGGGUUUCAAGUCAACUAUUAAGAAAAUUGUCG